Lagopus muta (rock ptarmigan) is the source of this 8165-nucleotide long non-coding RNA. RefSeq lists it as uncharacterized. The transcript is spliced from 7 exons. Lineage: Eukaryota; Metazoa; Chordata; Aves; Galliformes; Phasianidae. The record is from RefSeq and is a predicted model, not a curated record.
UGUGUUGAGCUUAGGAGAAGCAGCCACCGGUUUGUUUCCUGGGAAGUCUUAGGGAGUGUUUCAGUACGGACUGUGUGCCCGGGUUUUAUUCCCCUGCUCCGGGCCCGUUUCGCUGUUGCAAGCCCAGCUGGAAAGCAAAACUUAUUCCUGGACCCUCACGUGCUCUGGAUGGCCUUUCUGUUGGUGGCCGGUCUGGGGUCCGGUCCUCAACCUGAUGACAGAAUUGGAGUUGACUUUGGCUUUUGCUUAGACACGUUAGCACCAUGUCACAUGAGAAGGAGUGUGGGCUCAGCCUAAAGUGAGGGGGAACUCUGCUGUGAAUUCCUUUGCAGGUCCUCCAGCAGGCAGGCUGUACAGUGUACUGCCCCUUGGUUCUCAAUCUGUCAAAUUAGAAAGGGCAAAACCCAUAAUGAAAUGAAGGUCUUUCCGAAGCCACUCAUUUGCGUAACACCCGGAGCAGUUGGUGAGGACAUUCAUGUCGGGCUUCUCAAUGGAGUGUUGAGCUACAGAUUUAAACAGAGGGAAAAUGAACACUGAAUAUUCACUGAACCGUGUUAAGGAGAAAGAGGGUAUGCAUAUGUAUUUAAUGUAUAGCAAGACACUUUGAUGUUUGAAGGGGAAAAAAGAAAAGAGAACAAACAUCAGCCGGAGCGCAGCGUGCUGCCGGUAGAGCCCCGCGGAGAGCUGCGCGCUCGCAGGCGGCCGCCACCAGGGGGAGCUACAGCUGUGCUCCGCCCGGCUCCGCGCCGUGCGGCCGCGCUCCCACCGCCUGCCCGCCUGUCUCCUGCAGUCCGUGCUGCUCCUUCCCGGCCUCCGGCUGUCCUCGUGUACCAGCUGCUGAUUGGAAACCGGUAUCGCGAGACUACGUUAUGUGUGAGUUUGAUAGGAGUCACCAUGGUGAGGAAAGGAAUAAUGGAUUUUCAGUCAUGGCUUCCUUCUUCCCCCGGAGAGCAAUGAGUCUGUUUCCCUUUUUCAAUAACAGCUUUAUUACAGCAUGUUAAAGGGAAACAAGAAGAUGAACAGACCGGGCCUGGCUGUGCAGCGAUCACUCUUCUGAGGAGCCUGUGUGAAGAGAUGCUGGUCUGGGAGUCAAUCUGAGGAAAAGCAGAAGAUAUUUGCUUUAUAUCUGAAGUAUUAUUCAAGUUCACUCCAGUGACAAGGGAACUGUUGGUACAUGAUUUAUAUAAAGCUCUAAGACCUGGUGCUGAAGGAAACUUCUCUCAGAAGUGUACGUUUAUUGUUUGAUACCUUUGGUGAUACGUGCUGCUUCAUCUACCAUCUCUGUAAGUGUGGUCUCACUUUCACUGUUAUUGAAACUUGUAUCAAGUGAAAUGAAAACAGAAAUUUGGGAAAGGAUAUAAUUAACCUACCUGUGAACAUUAACCUUAAAUAUUGUGCUAAUUACCUCAAUAAUUUAAUCACUGCAGAUCUCAAACUCGUUUGUUAAAUAUUUAAUUCUGCAAAUUGUUUCUGAUACAGAGGUGUGGGUAGCUUUCUGUGAAUGUAACCUUCUAUAUAAAACUCCUUACAAAACCAUUGUAUAUUUGCACUUCAGCAAAAAAAUCCACCGUCAACAAGACUUUUAAUGGCAAUCACAGAAAACAUUCCCUGGGGCAAAGAGAUACAGUGCCCUACUACUCGUAAAUCUAAUGAGCGUGUUGUGUGCUGAGUAGGCCACAGCAAAUUUCUGUCUGCACAUCUUCAGGUUUGAUUCCAUGGUAGUCUAGACUGGAAAGUUUCUUUUGCCUUGUUUCUUUGGCUGUGGUGCAGUUGUGUGGUUGUUUCUUACCUGUACACCUGAUUACUUGAGCAACUGACCACAUUAUGUCCUUGAUCUUCAUCCCUUCUCAUCAAGUGAAUAUUUUGUGCUGCUUCUAGGCCAUGGGGUCACCCCCAGCCACUGCCGCUGGGCAGCAAAAGCCAGGCCAUGGGAGCUGGGCAAACUGCCAGAUGGGAGGAUGGCUGGCAGAGAGGGGGCAAGAGGUAGGGGGCAGGCCGUUACACCCCUGGCACCUCAAUCUUCCAUCCCAUUGUGAAAAACAAGUCACCCUUCCUUCAUCUUUUCCCAGGGGCAUCAACCAGCCCUGUGUUUCAGGCUGUACCGGAUGGCAGUACUUCUUUGUUUUUGUAAUGUAUGUCUCACUUACUGAGAAAGAAGAUGAAGAUUGGCUUUGACAUCGUGCUGCUGCACUGUAAAUUUUACUAUUAGAGUAAGGUGCAAAGGUAUCCUAAAUCCAUCUGAUGGCUCACACCAGACCUCUGUCAGGAGCUCUUUGAUUAGUUAUAUCUUUCAUGGAAAGGCUCCUGUACAUCACUGAAUCCAAGUGUGGGCACAAUUGCAGAUGGCUGUAAAGACAUGCAGUUUGAAGGAUAUUUAUAUUAUCAGUGUGGUGUAUAGAAACCCAGAUCUACAUGGUGUUCUGAUUUCUUUGGUGAUGAUACAUUACCGUGCUUCACACUGGUAUUUUCUAUGAAAUUAUUGAGUGAAGUCACUGCCUGGCAGAUCUCUCAGUGAUGUCUCAGAAGGAAAGGAAAGCGCUGCUGGGGCUGUGCAGUGGCAGCACAGGGAGAAGUGCUGGGGCUGUGUGAUGGCACGAAGACGGCACUGCAAGGAGGGAGGAAGAGUGAGUGAACCUGCGAGCAGCACGAGCCCAGGGCAGAAACAGACAUCAUCUGGAACUGUCUGCCCACCAAUGCUUUAGAAACAACACUGAUGAUAACAAAGUGGGUAUUGGUGUUUUUUCAGAUUGAUACCCCUAACAUUUUGACUGGAGUAUGGAAGCGAGGAGUAGCUGAUCCUAACAUGCUGGACAAGAUUGCAUGAGACUGGAAACUCACUCCCACUAAGAAAAAAAUGGAAAACUCCAAGUCUUCAGAACAAAUCUGAUUUUUGUUUUUAUGUCUGCCUGUGUUUGAUGCGGGAGUUGAAAUCAAAAUCCAAAUUAUAUUUCCAGAUCUAGGGGUCAUUUUAAGUACCUUUCCAUCUCCCUAGCACAGGGUUUUUCUAAGACUCGUUGACAUCUAAUGAUAAUAAAGUCUUUCAUUACAGAAUCACAAAAUACUCGGCCUGUGGCCUUAUGUUCAAUUAAUAUUUAUUUAAUAAUCAUAGGUAAAUUAAUUUCCAUUGUUUCUGUUCUAAUUCUAUACGAGAUUGUGAGAUACAACUAGAGAAAAGCGCAGAGAGCCUGAGUAAAUGUUGCUCAUAGAAAAUGUUUCUAUUACCCUUUACUUUUAAAACCAUUAAUAGAUUAUUAGGAGAUAUAAACAUAGGAGACCAUGGAUCAUAUUUGCAUAUUAAUGAAAUCCAUGAAUUAUACAUUAUUUGCUAUAGAGAGUACUAGGAACAGUACUCCUUCUUUUUUAAUGGCUAUAAAAGCUGGCGUUUUCCUGGAGCACACAUCACAUCCCCUCUGCAAUACCUUCUAAUAGAAAGCAAGCAAGCCAGCUCUUCAAAGCAAUCUCUCACUAAAUUUAAUAGAUUUGUUUGUGUUGCUUUGCAACACACAAGUGUGACAGUUCAUUUUAAACAAAAUAGUUUUAAUAAUGUCAUUACUAAUAUCUGUUUGGUCAUCUCUCUGAAAAAUGGUGUUUUAAUGGGAAUGUUUCAUUUUAAUAAAUGGCAGAAGAGGCAAGCUGCCCUGAGUCAGCAGGAAGUGGAUAUACACCAGAGAACAGGCUGAUUGUGUUAGAUUCAUCCAGAACAUUGAACAGCACACAGACAGUCCAAGAAAAAGCAACUGGCUUUAUUCAAAUGAUUAGUCUUGCUGCUACGCUGUAGCGCAGAUUCACACAUUCUUCUAUUAUUCCUUGACCUUGUGCCAAAAACUCCCACUUGAAGUAAUAAUUAGAAUUAGUGUUUCCAGUGCAUGCUUCCAUCUUCCUAACAAACAGUAAUGAAAUGUGGCUUUUACAAAAUAUGCAGUUAAUUAAACUUUUUAAAAACAUUGGUUGAUUAAUACAGUUCCUCUGUGCUAUCCCCUUGCUGUGCCCAGCUCUUUCUACCUGAUAUUGGUGAACCAGAAGAAACAUAGUGAGAUGAGGGACAGUUUGGAAAUUUGCACUUCAAUAUUGGUUAUAUAUAUUUUCUUUUCUUUCUCAUUUUGACUCUGUCUAGGCAUAAACUGGAAAGAUGGCCAUUAUUUGUAAUCACAGGUUUUUAAGCCCAGGACAGUGUGCGCAUUAUAUAACUGCUCUAUGCAUACCUUCAGCAUGAAUAUGAAGAAUACAUAUAUCAAGAGCUACAAGAUGAUGAGGCAGGAAGCAAGUUACAUCUUGGAGAAAUUGCCCUCAGGAGAGAGGAAAAACUAUUGCGAGGUUGACAGCACAACCUUGUAGCAGCGCAGUUUGCCUUUCCCAGUGGUUCAAGGAGUUCCAAGCACCCUCUUGUAAAUCAUCGGCUCACAUCUAUUUAUUAUCUUCCAGCCCAGUGCACAACACUAUCUGUUACACACGGAUACCGGCAAUAUUACAAGGUGGACUCCAGGGAUAAGAGACAGCCAACCCCGCACACCUCCCACGCCUGAGUCAUACCCGGGGUAACGCCAGGUCCUGCUCGUACCUGCUGUCGGCAGAAAUGAAACAGUACGAGCUGUUGUGUUUCAGAGCCUUUUUUAAUUGAUUCUCCAGAAUGCUUGAUCUUACCUGCUGAUAUCCCUGUGUUAUUAUUCAGAGGCACAGUCUAUCUGCAUAGCAAUGGACAAAAUGCCUGUGAAAAUAUUGCUAUUCAUUCAGUCGAUGUCGGAACUGGAGUAGGCACCAGCUACACUCUGCAAUGCUUGUCCUGGAAUAUUAAUAAAUAAAUCAUAAAAGCCAAUGCUUCAAAUAUUGAAAAAUUCACACUUCAAACUGUGUUUUGAACUAUACUGAGAGCAAUGUCUCAGAUUGUCCUUUUGCUUUAUAUGAACAGAGGAAAUUCAAAGUAGGAGGAACUCUCUCUGGGGAUUUGGUGUAGGGGAGUGCCACAAACCAUCAUCCUUCCUGUCUCUGCCAUGCCAGAGUGGCCUCUCCUGGGAUGUGCCAUGAGGAGCAGACAGCACAUCUGGGGAGCUAAUGUGGCUUCAGAUGAAAUUAUCUCCUGCAGAAUCCAUCUUGGCUGACAGCAAUGUGCACGCAAAGCAGCCAGGCAGUGGCGGGGAGCCAGGUCACAGCAGGGCAGGUGAAGGCUCGGUGGAAGGCAGCACCUCCCUGUGACUGUCUGGGUUAAACAAAGUUCCUUGCCACACUGGUUAUCCUUCUAUUCAGGGCUCAUAUUGGUAAGCUCAGUGUCAUUGAAGCCCCCAGCCCUGCUACCCACUUGCAGUGCUCUCUCGCUGCAGGUCCUGACUCACAGAGUGCUGCACGGUGUGCUGUGCAUGUCCGCUGUGCAAGGAAGGGUGCGGAAAGAUGCGCUCUGAAAGGUAUGCUCUAGUUCAAGAAUUGCUAGCUGGGCUGGUGCCUGAACUGCAGAAUGGGUUUCCGUGGUGUGUGUCAUGCAGGGGGCUGCUGGUAGGCACUUCUGAUGGUUCCUUUUUUUUUCUUUUGCUUUAAAAGCACUGAAAUUAGCCAAAAACUAAAGCAUAUAAUGGUAUUUUGUAGUUUAAUUGUGAAUACAAGACUAGACUGGCACUGGAAGUCACUCAGGUACAUCUAGUCAAAGGCCAGAAGAAUAAGCACUGCGGGUAUUCAGUGCUUUAUCUGAUUAGAAAAGCCUGGCACAGAUGUGAUUUCUGCUCCAUAUAUCAAGUUAUGGCAGGCUUUUGCUGCUUCAUUAUGAAAGCAUGUGAAGUAAAAUAGGUUUUGGAACAUAAAAAAUGACAAAUCUGGGAAAAUAUCUAUAUACCAGAUGGGUGUAGGAAGAAUCUUUGUGACAAAUAUAUUAUUAAGGGAAUAUGCAUAAGGAAAGAAACAGUGCCCCUCUCCUCCAAGGAUGGACAGGCAGGAAGGUGGCGUCUCACUGCGUCUAAUGUAUUCUCAUCUAGCCUAAAUCUAAUUAAUUGUAUGGCAUCGCUGACAUAAAAUCUAGGCACCACAUGCAAUAAUCAUAAGCUUCAUCGGGGUGCUGGUAGGACUUGGCGAGUACUCUGCCCUCCCCACUUUGUUCUCCUGGACGUCUCACAGAGGAAAGCUGCUGAUGCAGGGCCCUGGCUGCGCACCAUAGGCAGAUAGUGGCCGCUCACCUCCUCCCCUCACUGCCACACUCCAUCAUCCUCCUCUGAGGCACUGCUUGGAGGGGCCAUGUAGGAAUGGACAUUAUCUGUAGGUUCCAGCUUGAGGCACCUGCAACCUGGGGGACUCUGCAAACUGCUGCCCUGCUGCAUGGUGCAGAGGUCUCAGCUUUCCCUUGAUGCACACCUUGUUGGGGUUUUGCUACAUAACUGGUUUAGAUUGAGGGUGCAAAUGACCUAACCACGAUUAGUGUGUUCAGAAUUGAAAUAGAAAUGAAAAAGGGAGGAAGGUGGGGCAGUCCUGUCGCUUGGCUUCCCAUAAUGCGAUUUCAGUGAUGCCCUAUCAGCUAUCUGAUUGCUCUUUUCCUACUUACACCAAACAAACCAGAAGGCUUUUGCUCACAGGCUUCUAGUACUAUUUUAUUUGGCAGUUAUGGAAUAAAAGAAUUUUAGUGUUGCCUUAGAGUUUCUCCUGACAUCUAUCACAACCAAUCCAGCUCAUAUGUGGGUGAAGUGUGUUUUGAUCCAAUUAUACAAUUCUAUUGGAGCCUUGUUACAUUCUCAUCCCAUGUGCAUGUUGAAAAAUUCAAAAGCAAAAGAAAAUUCUACAAAAUGUUUCUCACUUACUAUAGGCUUGGAGACACAAAGCUAGACCACAGUGUUACUUGUGGAGACUAGUAGCAAACUAGAAAACAACAUAUUCUUCAGGAAAAAUAACAAAAAACGACAGAACGCACCAACAAACCUGUUAAUCAGCAGCAAGAUUUAGAGGGGGAAUAGUACAAUCUGUGUUAUAAAGAAUAUUGCAGACAGACUUUGGGGACACAGCCUUACUUCUGUUAAUUGCAGCAACAAGAACUUUUUUGGUGUUCAUCACAAUAGUUAUAAUGACAAAGCAUCUGCCAGUUUGAAGACAUUUCUGAGGUGCAUAAAAAUGACAAAUUUCAAGAGAACCCAGACACAAAAUGGCCAAGACAAUGCAGCUAACAUCCCAAUGGAUCAUAAUGACUAUAAUACUUAAAAAACUGAUAUAUUUCCCACACUUGCAAUACCUUUAUAGCAAAGAUGUAUUAUUAAAUCAACAACCCAUGUGCUAUUUGAUUACCAUGAUGCAUAAAUUGAUCGAGGAUAUUUCUGGCUCAUCAUUUCCACUGUUUUCAGGCUGAGAAACAUAAUGUAGGGAAUUAAGUGUUUCCUUUGCUCAUCUGCUGUAGAAAGUCGUGCAGCUUCAUGAAGCACUGCUCCUGGGAGAAGAGGCGCACUUGCUCCAAAGAUUUGUGGCUCCAUCAUGGUAGGCUCCGACAUGCCCACACGCAGAAUGCAGGCCCUAACACUCUGGUGGGAAGAUGCCAAGACCAAAUCAGCAUCUGAGGGCCACCCAAGCUGUUGGACAAGCACAGGUGGCUCUGUGGACAAACCCUGAUGACAGUACAAGGAGCAUGUCUUGGAGCUCAACUGCAGCUGGGAGAAGAUUCCUGAGCCACUACUCCUCCUUGGUUAAUUAAGUUCUGCCUGCCUUUAAUUCCAGUAGAUUAAUAAUCAGUCCAGCUUUCCUUAUAUUGGAGGCUGCAGAAAGGUUCUUGGCCUCCAGUUCUGAACCCUGCCUGUGUCUCUGCACCUCACGGGAGGGUGGAACACUCAACACAUCUCCCCACAGUUCCUCUCGGUCAUCCUGAGCCCUGUCAUUAAGCUCCACCACAGAAAUCUGUUUAGUCACAGAAGCAGAUUGCUUCCAUGAAGCGCAGAAAUGUAAUUUGCCAGUACUUACACUUACAAUAUUAAAUAGUAGCAAGUAGAUCUUUCACCUUUUCAAUUCUUUAUAGCAAAAAAUACUUGGUGUGAAAAUCUCGACUCUACAAGAGUCGAUGAUAAAAUCUGCAUCAACGGCAGAGCUGCUUUUACCCUCAGCACGGUGAGUGGUUUUAUUGGUUUUGCAUUUAAAGCUGUCCUAAUACAUCCGUGCUUUCAGCAUAAGCCCAGCAUCCUCACACACUUGCAAAGCCAAGAGCUCACCUCCCUGCU